UUCUCUGAUGGAGGUGGGGGAGCAUGUACUGUCUCUGCUUCCUCAACCUUAAAAGGUUCAUUGACUUUAUUAGAAUCUUUACAAUCAGUAGUUUUGUUAGAUUCAAUGGAUAAAAAUCGUCCAUUUCUUGAGGCGGCGAUAUUUCUGUUUCAAUAAGAAAGAAUAAGCUAAAUGAUAUAGAAAAGCAUACCAGGAACAGGCUACAAUUGAAUAGGGAAAAGGAAAAGGAAAAGGAGCAAAAUAAACAAAAAAAAAGUAACAUGAUUGAAGCAUCUCAAGGUGAUAAGAACCAAAAACCAAUCUAUUCAAUAAAACCAACAAUUUAAUUGAUAAUUUAUAUUUCUCAAUCCUGAGUUGAUGCAUGCUGCCAACACGUGCAUCUCUGUCAACAAUAUCUGCCCUGUACUUUCUCUUCCAACUUGGCACCAUCUAGAUUCCUCGAUGGAUAUACAAAAGUGUCAUUCCUUUCAACAUGACCAGGAAUAACUCAACUGGCCAAACCAUUUGUGAUGGCAUAUUAAAAGAGAGAUUAUUUAAUUUAGUUUCCAAUUUUGAUGCUUAUCGUAGAAAACAUAAUUAGGUAUGCUUUCAUAGAUUUUAUAGUAUUUUUUUUUUACUUCAAUCAGGACUAGUUUAAACCAAAUGGGGCUUAUGCAAUGUAAUUCAUACAACUUUGAUGAUGAAUAAAGAUACUCUCUCUCUUUAAAUUCCUUAAAAAAAAAAAAAAUGUCAUCCAUUCUCUGUUAGCAUUUUAGUAGGAGUUGAAAGGCCAGGGGAUACGCACCACUGAAGUUACUCCAUUCAGUGCAUCCUUCCACGAGUCAGUUGAAAGAAGAUCUCCUGAAAGUGAAAAAAGGAAAUUGAAAUGAUGACAGGUUUCAGUUAUCUCUUAUCAUAAAAGAACAAAAUAACAAAGGAUUGCAACUAGCAGACCUUGAUGCCAAGACACGCUGCUAGCCCAAGGUUCUUGUAUGGAUGACCUACCCGAUCUAAAAAAGGCAAAAACCAGUUCUCAAGCAUCAAAAUGGAAGCAAACCAUAUUCACACAGCACAGCUAACAGCCAGAGGCAAUAAAUAAUUUACAAAAAAUGAAUUACAAAAUAAUUACUUCUGGAAAUACUGAUACGUGCAAACAAAAAAUGUCAGUGAACAUAAGGUAUUCUAUCCUUUGAGCAGGAAACUUAUGUUCUCUAUUUCAAAUUAUACCUAUCGGCCUUUGGAACACAAUUUCUAUGUCCCACUUGUUGAGACUUGGUAGUUGGUACCCAUGUAUGGGUGCAGAAGAAGAAGAAAGAAACCACUUUAUUCAUUGGUAUAGUUACAUGUCACUAAAUAGAGAAGAUAAGGCAACAGCCAUAUGGGUUCAUUCAAUGUUUCACCCAACACACAUCCUUGAAGGAUACAAUGACCUCAUGGAUCAUGGUUUUUGGUUUUUGUUAAAAUUAAGGUGUAACCCGAAUUCUAUGUUGAAGAUGAUAGGGAAUUCUAAUUAAGGUCGAUAUUAAGAGGAACCCUGUUUGUUGGAAUGUUUUUGAAAUACUAUUUGAAGUCUAUUUGGCAAAUUCUAGUUGAAGUUCUAUUUGGAAGCUCAAUUGGGAGUUGAAAUUUGUGUUGGACUUGAAGAUAUCAAGAUAUGGACCAGGAAGGACUUUUGGCGCAAUUAUGCUCGCCUUGCUGGCACCAGCCUAGUUCCAUCUGGAUGCUCGAGCAUCUGGGCAGCACCCGCCAGGUGCUUGUGCGCCAUAGUCAUUCAGUUCAAGCCUAUUUUCGAGUUUUGAUGCUUCCUUUCCAUCCAUAAUUCUACUUUUUGGGUUUGAAACUUCCCUUAUAUAUAUUUAGCAGUUCACUGUAUUUUAGAAGAAGUUAAGACAAAAAACACGAUCAUUCUAAUCCAUUUUUUAGUGAAAUUUCAUUCCUCUGUCAACUAUUUUAUUCAUGAGUUUGUGAUUAAUUACUCCAUAUUGUGUCAUAUUAUUUUCUUGACUAUUAUCACAACAAAUUGGUGUCAGAAUCAUCCAAUAUUUUUUUUGAUGUUAUAACAGUUUUGAAAAUAUAUUCUUCAGUAACUGGAAUAUUUCCUCAUGUUAAUUCCAAAAAAUAUAUAUAUAUAUAAUAAUAAUAAUAAAAAAAAAAUAAAAAAUAAUAAAAAAUUGAAAAUAGCAUCUACUCAUUCCUUGAGCCAGAGCAAAAGGUAAACAUUCAAUGAGAAGGUUAUAUUCAAAACAUAAAUGAGCAAUCAGAUAGCCAGAAGAAUUUGAUAGGGAUAAACACCAAGUUGACAGAUUCAUUAAACUAUGUGCAGUCAGAUUAUAAUUAUAAAAAAGGAUAAUCAGAUAAAUUGCAAAAAGAGACAAAUACCUGCUGAGACUAGCAACAGCUAAACCACGAUCUAUAGCUUCCUUGCAAACAUGUGAACCGACAAAUCCAUUUCCCCCCAGGAUAAGUAACUGAAUUAGAAGCAUAAGAAAUACUAGUUACCAUUCUGAGGACAAAUAGAAAAUUACAAACGUAAUUUAUGCUACAGUUACAGAAUACCUUCUCUGAUGGAGGUGGGGGAGCAUGUACUGUCUCUGCUUCCUCAACCUUAAAAGGUUCAUUGACUUUAUUAGAAUCUUUACAAUCAGUAGUUUUGUUAGAUUCAAUGGAUAAAAAUCGUCCAUUUCUUGAGGCGGCGAUAUUUCUGUUUCAAUAAGAAAGAAUAAGCUAAAUGAUAUAGAAAAGCAUACCAGGAACAGGCUACAAUUGAAUAGGGAAAAGGAAAAGGAAAAGGAGCAAAAUAAACAAAAAAAAAGUAACAUGAUUGAAGCAUCUCAAGGUGAUAAGAACCAAAAACC
RNAcentral lists this long non-coding RNA (2834 nucleotides) under Olea europaea (common olive). RNAcentral's name for it is "long non-coding RNA (OEUR_LNC009810)". Lineage: Eukaryota; Viridiplantae; Streptophyta; Magnoliopsida; Lamiales; Oleaceae. The record is from RNAcentral.